GUUUGACAGCUCGCAAUGUUCCUUAGCAGCAGACGAUCACAGGGGAGCUGUCAUUUCCUUGUGUUUGUCUGCUCCUAUCUACUCGUGGUGGUGGUGACGGUCCAUACAGCUCCUACCAUCUCUUUCCCUCCCUUCCCAUACCAUACGGACCCUCCCCACUAUCUCAAUGUGCUUGUAAUGCCCUUAAUGUGAUGUCCGUUAUGAGGGGGAUGGGCUGAAUGUGCUGGAAGUGGUCUAGUGUCUCUCGCCUCGUGUUAUUUUCUCCCUUUUUUACGGGGUUGGUGUGAGGUUAGAGUUUAUAGGCUAUAUGUUGACCUUUUAUGUGUUGUUGUGGGUGAAUAGGAGGAGUAAUUUCUUUGAUUUGUUAGAGAACUGAGGUGCUGGGAGUAGUUUUUUUCCUCCCUUCAUGUUUUACUCUAUCUUGUACGGGGUGGGUAUGAGGGUAGAGCAGUUUAGGUUAUAGGUUGGCCUGUUGGCGUGUGUGUGUGUGUAGAUAAGAGAUGUAGCUUGAUUUGCGAAGAGAAAGGUCCAGAAGUAGUUUACCUAUAGUCUUAUGCCUCAUGUUUUACUCCUAUCUCAUGUAGAGCAGGUUAGCUAAGAGGUUAUUAGGUUAUAGAGUGGCCUUUGUAUGUGUGUAGGUGAAGGGAAAUAACUAAGAGACACAGAGAAACUUAGAGCAGUGUAUUCUCUCGCUUCGUUUUUCUCUCUUAUCUACGAGGAUAGUGUGAGGGUAAAGCAAGUUAGGUUAGAGGCUGUUAGGUUAUAGAUUGACCUUUUGUGUGUGUUAGUGUGAGUGAAUAAUAAAAACAGUUUGACUUGUUUUGUUAGAGAAUUGGGGUGUUUGAAAGUAGUCAAUCUCUCGCCUCUUAUUCUCUCUUUCCUGCGGGGAGGGUGUGAGAGUAGAUCGAGGUUAUGAGGUUAUAGACCAUUUGUGAUUGAUUGAUUGAUAGUUUAUUGUUGCAGGUAAACAACAAUGGAGAAGGGAGGAACAUGCCAUCCCAACCCCCAGGCAGGACAGAGUGUGUAUAGAUGUAGGUUACUAAGAAAUAGGGAGAGGAAAUGAGAUCAUGGCAAUGGUUUCUCUCCCCACAUGUUCACCACUUUUUUUUACGGGGAAAGUGUGAGGGUCAGACAGGUUAGGUUAAAGGCCACCAGGGUCGUUACUGUUGACCUUUUUGUGUGUGUAGAUGCUGGUAAAAAAGGGACUUUGGUUGGCAUGUUUUGACAGAUACACCCACGUGUUCGUUAAAAACUAGGUUGCGAUGUUGUUUGUGUGUAUCCAAAGUAACGUCGUAGAGAGAGAGAGAGAGAGAGAGAGAGAGAGAGAGAGGAAAACUGUUAUCAAUAGGAAAAUACCAGCCACAAUAAAAAUAGCAGGUGGCCCUGAUACUCCCCCAGCGGCAGGCCGUUGCCCGCUCAUCGAAAUACCGUAUUUGUAUUAAAUUGCACUAUGUAAGAUCUAGAAAUAAAGAAAGAAGAAAAAUAGGGAAAGGGAAUCUUCCAGUCACACGUUGUACAUCGAACCUAGUCUUGUGAAACGUGGGAAGGGUGACUGGUGGUGAUAGUGGUGGUGGUGGGGGUGGUGGGAAAGUGAUAGUGGUAAACUGGUGGUGGUGGGAGGAACAGGAGCGGAUGGAUGGGGGGGGAAAUGUGGGUGGUGAUAAAAAGAGGUGAUAAUUCAUGUUUCGUGAUGAUAAUAAUGAUGAAAAUAAUGAAAAUACCUAUAAUGAUAAUAGUGAUAAUAAUGAUAAAAAUAAUAAUUCAAUAAUGUUUUAAUCUACGAGGGAUAUCAUUUGCUGUUAUUAUUAUUGUUAUUAUUAUUAUCAUUAUUAGUAUUUUUCGUAUUGUUAUUAUUUGGUGUUCAUUUCAUCAUUAUAACAAUUUUCUUUUCUGCAUUCAAUAAUCUCCUCUGUCGUUUGUAUGAUGAGAGAGAGAGAGAGAGAGAGAGAGAGAGAGAGCGACCACACGCCGCUACGCACACACGGGAAUUCUAAGAGACCAUUCAUAUCGACUACAACAGCUUUGUGAGUGUGUAUGUACUGCGUGGUAAUCUCCCUCUCUCUCUCUCUCUCUCUCUCUCUUAACGCCAAUUACCCCAAACCGCGCCGUGGAAGCUGACUGGCCAGUAACAGGCACCCGUAACGAGGGCAGGUAAAUGGCUAUACAUAUUCAUACGUUAUUUUCCAGGUAUAAGUGGAGGAGCGAUUUGCGUCUCUGCUCUAAAGUGGCGCCCAGCUGCUUGAUCGAUUCCCCUUUUCAAUUAUUAUUUUUUCUCUACUGCGUUGUAAGGAAGGGACUGGAGGAGGGGAGGAAGGGUAUGCAGAAGAAAGUGUGGUAGGGGAAGAAUAAUGAUAAAGUUGAGGAUAAUGAAUAGAAUGACGCAAAAGAACAGAAGUGAAGGAAAUAAUAGAAAAAAUAGAGAAUUGAUAUAGCGACCAAGGAAGUAUAUGAGAAAGAAAUUGCUACAGGGUAAGAAUAAAAAUAGAAUUGAAGAUAAGAAGAAAGUGUGGUAGGGGAAGAUUAAUAAUAAAACUGAGGAUAAUGAAAAGAAUGACGCAAGAGAACAGGAGGGAAGGAAAUUAUAGAAAAAAUAGAGAAUUGAUAUAGCGACCAAGGAAGUAUAUGAGAAAGAAAUUGCUACAGGGUAAGAAUAAAAAUAGAAUUGAAGAUAAGAAUACAAGCAAUAUGAAGAGCAAGGAAUGUGUUGGAGGAAGCAAAGGAAUUCGAGUGAGGGAAAGCAAAGAGCAAUAAGCGGUAUAAUGAUAAAGGAAGAAUAGGAGCAAGAAAGUGCGAUAGGACAAGAAUACGGGUAAAACUAAAUACAAGACGAUGAAAAUGAAGAAGUAGAAACAUAGAAGGACGCGAAGGAGCAGGAGUGAGGGAAGGAAUUUAGUAAGAAGGGGUAACAUAGGGAUAAAGGUAGUGUAGAAGAAAGUGUGAUAGAGUAAUAAUUAGGAUAAAACUGAAUGCAAGUCGAUGAAAAUGAAGGGCAAGAAAUAUAGGAAGAGGAGUGUGGGAAACCAUAUGAAAAGAAAAUAUAAAAGGGGGCUCGAGACACACAAAAUUGGGCCACAGUAAGAAGACUUUGCAAGGACACUGGUAUAAGGGAAAGGAAAUAAUAACUACCGUAAAGAAAGUGAGAAAAAAAAGAGAGAAAGAAAGAAGGAAAAAGAGGAAUAAAAAACAUGACAGUAAGACAAAAUAAGUAGUAGAAGAAUUAAAGGACCUGUAAAAACGAGAGAAAAAGAAAGAAGGAAAGAAAGAAAAAGAAGGAAAAGAGAAUAAAAGUAUGACAGUCAGACAAAAUAAGUAGAAGAACUGUAAAAACGAGAGGAAGAAAGAA
Eriocheir sinensis (Chinese mitten crab) is the source of this 3343-nucleotide long non-coding RNA. RefSeq lists it as uncharacterized. The record is from RefSeq and is a predicted model, not a curated record. The transcript is spliced from 2 exons. Lineage: Eukaryota; Metazoa; Arthropoda; Malacostraca; Decapoda; Varunidae.